UCCCUGGUGGUCUAGUGGUUAGGAUUUGGCGCUUUCACCGCCGCGGCCCGGGUUCGAUUCCCGGUCAGGGAA
This 72-nucleotide transfer RNA is filed under the name Esox lucius (northern pike). It matches the Rfam family "tRNA". From Rfam's summary of the family: Transfer RNA (tRNA) molecules are approximately 80 nucleotides in length. Their secondary structure includes four short double-helical elements and three loops (D, anti-codon, and T loops). The record is from Rfam by way of RNAcentral. Lineage: Eukaryota; Metazoa; Chordata; Actinopteri; Esociformes; Esocidae. RNAcentral also lists the same sequence under 2 other names.